This is a non-coding RNA of Xylaria scruposa, 94 nucleotides long. The record is from the annotation of a GenBank genome assembly. NCBI's taxonomy places the organism in Eukaryota, Fungi, Ascomycota, Sordariomycetes, Xylariales, Xylariaceae.
GGACCCAUAGCUCAGCGGUAGAGCAUCUGAUUCCAGCUAAAACAAAUAUCAAGCUGCCUCCAGAAGGUCAUCCGUUCAAAUCGGGUUGGGUUCA